AGAGCACUGGCUGCUCUUUCAGAGGACUGGGAGAUGAAAUAUGCUGUAAUUUCAGACUUGUAUUUGCAGGUUUAAAAAUUCAUCUGUGUCAGAGGGUCGAUCCUCUAGUCCUUGGUCUUUGCCACACAUAGCAAUGUCUGUUUUGUGUGACAUAUAUUGUUAUAGUUAUAAUAGUUGUUAAGAUCCUGUGCCCAAAAUAGUACUUUUUCUUAAUGAACUAAAAUAUAUGUUUAAUUAUAGGUGGAAUUAGAUGUUCUCAAGGCAUCACACAACAUGGGUCAGCUAAAAAGGAAAGCCACAAAUUACUUAGACCGACAAAGACUCUAGGAUCAAGUGAGCUGUAUCAGAAAAUGAGUCAAGACGAAAGAGGAAUGAACUUGACAUUAAUAAAGAUAAUUUAUUUUAAAAAUUUG
This is a non-coding RNA of Mus caroli (Ryukyu mouse), 413 nucleotides long. The record is from RefSeq and is a predicted model, not a curated record. Lineage: Eukaryota; Metazoa; Chordata; Mammalia; Rodentia; Muridae.